CUACGGGUUGCAGCAGUGAGGAAUUUUGCGCAAUGGGGGAAACCCUGACGCAGCAACGCCGCGUGAGUGAAGAAGGCCCUUGGGUCGUAAAGCUCUGUCAAUGGGGAAGAAGUUACUUGGUAUUAAUAGUGCCUUGUAUUGACGGUACCCAUGAAGGAAGCACCGGCUAACUCCGUGCCAGCAGCCGCGGUAAUACGGGGGGUGCAAGCGUUAUUCGGAAUUAUUGGGCGUAAAGGGCACGCAGGCGGUCCUGUCAGUCAGAUGUGAAAGCCCGGGGCUCAACCCCGGACGUGCAUUUGAAACAGCAGGACUUGAGUACGGGAGAGGAAAGGGGAAUUCCUGGUGUAGAGGUGAAAUUCGUAGAUAUCAGGAGGAACACCGGUGGCGAAGGCGCCUUUCUGGACCGGUACUGACGCUGAGGUGCGAAGGCGUGGGUAGCGAACGGGAUUAGAUACCCUUGUAGUC
This 465-nucleotide ribosomal RNA is filed under the name uncultured bacterium. Its description in RNAcentral is "partial 16S ribosomal RNA". It matches the Rfam family "Bacterial small subunit ribosomal RNA", at positions 339 to 795 of the family's 1533-position model. The record is from RNAcentral.